GAGAGAGAGGGAGAGAGGGGUUAUAGUGUUUCAUGUAGAGAGAGAGAGGCGGUGGCGGAGACACGGCGGUGGCCUUCUUCCUCAACUCGCUAGGGUUCCGGCACUGUGUUCAGAUCCCCCCGGCACUGUCUUCAGAUCACCCACUGUGUUCAGAUCCUCAACUCGCUAGGGUUCCGGCAAACUGAAGCAGUCCUAGAAACUCAGAAGAAUGCGAAGAUUGAGGGAGUGGAAGACACCCCUAAUGGUAAUUUACUGAUUUUGAAUCACUUAUAUGAUGUCGAUGUGUGUCUGCAUGUUGAAUUCGGUUGUCCUUUGUUGGUAAGCGGAUUUGGCAUGUCUUUCUUUUUAUUUUGGUUCAUCCUUUUUUGUUGCGUGUGGUGUUUAACUGAUUUGGCAUUAGACUUUGUGAAUUGAUGAGUACAGAGGAGAUGAAUUUGGUUCAA
This is a long non-coding RNA of Helianthus annuus (common sunflower), 443 nucleotides long. RefSeq lists it as uncharacterized. The transcript is spliced from 2 exons. NCBI's taxonomy places the organism in Eukaryota, Viridiplantae, Streptophyta, Magnoliopsida, Asterales, Asteraceae. The record is from RefSeq and is a predicted model, not a curated record.